RNAcentral lists this transfer RNA (69 nucleotides) under Marmota marmota marmota (Alpine marmot). It matches the Rfam family "tRNA". Rfam says of the family: Transfer RNA (tRNA) molecules are approximately 80 nucleotides in length. Their secondary structure includes four short double-helical elements and three loops (D, anti-codon, and T loops). Further hydrogen bonds mediate the characteristic L-shaped molecular structure. tRNAs have two regions of fundamental functional importance: the anti-codon, which is responsible for specific mRNA codon recognition, and the 3' end, to which the tRNAs corresponding amino acid is attached (by aminoacyl-tRNA synthetases). tRNAs cope with the degeneracy of the genetic code in two manners: having more than one tRNA (with a specific anti-codon) for a particular amino acid; and 'wobble' base-pairing, i.e. permitting non-standard base-pairing at the 3rd anti-codon position. Lineage: Eukaryota; Metazoa; Chordata; Mammalia; Rodentia; Sciuridae. The record is from Rfam by way of RNAcentral. RNAcentral also lists the same sequence under 2 other names.
GGGGUUGUGGCUCAGUGGUAGAGCGCUUGCCUAGCAUGUAUGAGGCACUGGGUUUGAUCCUCAGCACCA